Molecule: ribosomal RNA, 2806 nt
Filed under: Cilicaeopsis whiteleggei
Lineage: Eukaryota; Metazoa; Arthropoda; Malacostraca; Isopoda; Sphaeromatidae
Description: partial 18S ribosomal RNA
Rfam family: Eukaryotic small subunit ribosomal RNA
Source: RNAcentral
UUACCUGGUUGAUCCUGCCAGUAGUCAUAUGCUUGUUUCAAAGAUURAGCCAUGCAUGUCUAAGUACAGGCCUACCCAAGGCGAAACCGCAAAUGGCUCAAUAAAUCAGUUAUGAUUCAUUGGAUGUCGCUGAAAUCCUUUACUCGGAUAACCGUGGUAAUUCUAGAGCUAAUACGUGCAACCGAGCUCCGACCCCGCCAUACCAGGCGGGGGAAGGGCGCAUUUAUUAGAAUCAUAAACCGGGCGAACUUCGGUUCGUCUCAUACGAGGUUGUGAUGACUCUGAAUAACUAUGCCGAGCGCUGAGGCCUUUGUGCCGGCGCCGUAUCUUUCGAGUGUCUGCCUUAUCAGCUUUCGAUUGUACGUUAUACGCUUACAAUGGCUGUAACGGGUAACGGGGAAUCAGGGUUCGAUUCCGGAGAGGGAGCCUGAGAAACGGCUACCACAUCUAAGGAAGGCAGCAGGCACGCAAAUUACCCACUCCCGGCUCGGGGAGGUAGUGACGAUAAAUAACGAUGCGGGACUCUUCCGAGGCCUCGCAAUCGGAAUGAGUUCACUCUAAAUCCUUGGACGAGGAUCCAUUGGAGGGCAAGUCUGGUGCCAGCAGCCGCGGUAAUUCCAGCUCCAAUAGCGUAUAUUAAAGUUGCUGCGGUUAAAAAGCUCGUAGUUGGACUUUAAGAUACGUGCCGGCGGCCCAUCCAAGGCGCGCCCUGGCCGUCUCGCUCGCGGGGUAUGGGUUCGCGUGGUGGGAGGCGCUUUAGCCGAUCACGGUUUACGCCGUGCCGGCGACUGCGACUUCCCCCCACCUACGCGCUCCCGCCUCCCUUCGUCCGGAGAUUCCCGCUAAAAACCUCCGCACCUCGCCUUCUAUGCGAGAGAAGAGCGCUGAGAUCUCCCCGAACAAAACCUAAUCCUCUCUAUUUACCUUCGUAUCGACCUCUGAAAGGAAAAGAGCGUUCGCGCAGUGUAGCUUUUUCUCCCUUUGAUUACGAAACUUCUUCCGUCCGAUAGCGGGUCACCGGCGGUUAUCUUCCGCCGCCCCCAUUCGGUAACGCGAAAAAAGUCUUCUUCCGUCAUCGGGGUUAAUGAAAUCGCUAAAAAAAAACUGCCGUUCGUUCGUUCACGUCGUACGGGGGGAGGGAGGAGCGGGUCGGGGAUGAGCUCCCUUUUCUCCUCCUUACGUCGGCUUACGGUGUCGGAGGGGGUUUUGACGGCGAACGGGUUUUGGUUUCCCGCCCCCGCUCUCGAAAGAAAGCGGGUGCGAGCGGCUAGUAAGCGCGCCCGGGGGUUCACUGGCCGGUCACGAAAUUUUAAAAGCCGUCGGCUCUCACGGGGGUGCUCUUUACCGAGUGUCCCGCGUGGCCGGCACGUUCACUUUUGAAAAAAUUAGAGUGCUCAAAGCAGGCAAAACUUUAUAGCCUGAAUGUAUAUGCAUGGAAUGAUGGAAUAGGACCUCGGUUCUGCAUUUUUUCUCGGUUUUCCGAACCCGAGGUAAUGAUUAACGGAAACGGACGGGGGCAUUAGUAUUGCGACGCUAGAGGUGAAAUUCUUGGACCGUCGCAAGACUAACUACUGCGAAAGCAUUUGCCAAGAACGCUUUCAUUAAUUAAGAACGAAAGUUAGAGGAUCGAAGGCGAUCAGAUACCGCCCUAGUUCUAACCUUAAACGAUGCCAACUAGCAAUCCGCUUAAGUCAUACCCACGACUGAGCGGGAAGCCCCCGGGAAACCGAAGUCUUUGGGUUCCGGGGGAAGUAUGGUUGCAAAGCUGAAACUUAAAGGAAUUGACGGAAGGGCACCACCAGGAGUGGAGCCUGCGGCUUAAUUUGACUCAACACGGGGAACCUCACCAGGCCCAGACACCGGAAGGAUUGACAGAUUGAGAGCUCUUUCUCGAUUCGGUGGGUGGUGGUGCAUGGCCGUUCUUAGUUGGUGGAGCGAUCUGUCUGGUUGAUUCCGAUAACGAACGAGACUCUACCCUAUUAACUAGUCGGUGGAUCGUAUCCCGAGACGGGUUAACCCCGCCGGGGGGUUUGGCACGGUGCGUCGGGCUCUCCGGCCGCGGCUUCUCCUUCCUCUCGUGCGUAAGCGUUUCGGGGGGGGUCGGCGGGGCGUCGUUAGCGUACCCUCGUACCUUAGUUCCCAUAUUCUCCUCGGAGGAGGGAACGGGCUCGGGGUAGUACGCGCGGCGCUCUCAAAGAUCUUUUUCCGUUCGCCGAGACGAGGGGGUAAACGAGGAGAGUCGCGUGUCGUACGGGAGUUUCGCGUCCGUGCUACGCUACACCCCUCGCGCGGGGCCCAGCGAGGGGCGUCCACCGCAACGUCUUCUUAGAGGGAUCGGCGGCGUCCAGCCGCACGAGAGAGAGCAAUAACAGGUCUGUGAUGCCCUUAGAUGUUCUGGGCCGCACGCGCGCUACAAUGAAGGGAUCAGCGUGCUUUCCCCCUCCGAAAGGAGCGGGUAACCCGGUGAAACCCCUUCCCGAUUGGGAUUGGGGAUUGUGAGUGUUUCCCAUGAACGAGGAAUUCCCCGUAAGCGCGAGUCAUCAGCUCGCGAUGAUUAAGUCCCUGCCCUUUGUACACACCGCCCGUCGCUACUACCGAUUGAAUGAUUCAGUGAGGGCGUCGGACUAGCGCCCUCGGUAGCCCUCGGUUUUUACGCGUUAUUACGCCGUCGCCCCUUAACGGGGGCGUAUGCGGGCGCGGCCGAGUAGGCACCCCGGGGCCGCCGGAAAGACGUCCGAACUUGAUCAUUUNAAAGAAAUUAAAAGUCGUAANAAGGNUUUCCGUAGGUGAACCUGCCCGGAAAAAA